Molecule: RNA transcript, 7470 nt
Organism: Callithrix jacchus (white-tufted-ear marmoset)
Lineage: Eukaryota; Metazoa; Chordata; Mammalia; Primates; Cebidae
Source: RefSeq, a predicted model, not a curated record
GGAAUAUGGAACUUCUGUGGUAAAAGAGAGAAAGAGAGAUGAUGUUAUGCACCAGAUGGAAACGGUGUGGCCCUGGAGUUGUGGCUUUCUCUGUGUCAACACUGUGGUCUGGGUUUUUAGAGAAGGACAAAUGCUACCCAGUGAGAAAUUCAAGAAAUGAAACCAGGAAGGUUUUCAGAUAACAUUUCCCAGAGUAAGUUAGAGGAAUCUUGCCUGUCGUGAUCACACUGUUCCCCACUGCCCCAGGUCAGCGCAUACUUGACCCAGGGUGGGCUCUCAGGUGGGUGAAAGCUAGCUGGGGACUCCUGACCCGGUCACCUGCAAGAGGCGGACUUUGAAGAAAACUGUGAUCCAGUUGAGCCACUUUGUCCCUGAAGGGAAUGCUGCUUUGCAGCUUUCUGUAACUUCUCACAUGGGAAUUGUACUGGUGGCAGAUAAGGUGUAACAGAUGUACUUUCUUUAUCUUCAGAAUAAGACAGUCAGGGUGAAUUCUAUAUGACAAGUAUUACUGAGUCAGGCCCCUCCCGCUGACCCAUUAUUUCCAGCACUGAUCAAGAAAAAUGAAUUCCAGCCCCAGGGCGAGGGUGGUGGCAUGGGGGUCUGGUGCUCCAGGCUACACCAUGAGCCCAGGCAUUCUGCAGCCUGCACCCUGCUGGUGAGAUCAUGAGCAGUGUUCUGGGGUAUAAUGUAUUUCUUUUUCAUUACUGUAUUAAUUCCUUUUAGAUAUGAUCAUCCUUCAGAACUUCAUGCGCAAACUGUAACUAGGAUGUUAAUAAUCCUCUCAUUCAGUGCCCUGAACUUCCUGUGUCUACACCUAGAGAGAGGGCCAGUAAGGGCAACUCCUAUCAUGCAUUAAUAUGCAUGUACUUAAAUCUGCUUGCCCCGAGCCAGUACCCAGGGGCCAAGGAUCAAGACCUGUCAGUACACCAAGACCCCGGCCUAGUCACCCUGGCAGGGUUUUAUCUACUCAGAGAGAGAACGCUUUGCACUAAUUGGGAGAAAAGCAGCUAAAUUAGAGGACCUCCAAAAGCGUGGCCUCAGUCAUGCCUUCAUAGGGCAAGGUCAGGCCAGCUCAGAAAAAUGGAUGGUCCCAUGAAGUCAGGUGGAGCACACAUAGAAGGCAGUCCUCUCUCCCUCCCUCCCAUGUUCUUUUGCUGUCCCUGGAGUGCACAGAAAGGGCCCUUCAGUCCUCAUGAACGGUUACUCUACUCUGCAGCUGCUGAUCACCCUCCCAGGACCCUGUACCUACCCCGUGCCCACUUGAUCCCAGACUCAAGCAUCAUCCUCAUUCUACCUGCCUCAGAAUUUUGAUAGAUAAGUGGGUUGCAAGUGAGAAUGUGGCUUUCCAGGACCCACUCCAGGCCUUCAAGGUCUGUGUCUCCCGGGAGGAGGGCUCUGAGAUUGGCUUUUCCGGCAAGCCCACAUGGCUGUGAUGCCAGCAAGGUUGGCAUGCCCCAUUGUCUUCCUUAGUGACAAGCCCAGGACCAGUCGUGCUCAUGUCCACCGUGCCUGUUCUCUGCUCCAGGAACACAGCUGCUGUUUCACAAGCAGCCCUGUGACUUCCGUAGCCUCUGGGAGCAGGACCCCUAGGAUUAUGCUCUCAGGUUGAGAGAGGCUCUGUGUCUGAAGGAAGCGUUCACUGUUUCAUCUCUCCACUGCUGUUUGCCUAGUACUACUGUCAGGGCCAGCUCCUCUUGAAAGACAGCCAGCUGGGAAGGCAGCCCAGGGCUUCUUCCUAUGUCCUGCUUCCCUGUGUGUAGGGAGAGUCAUGCUCAUGGCUGCGUGUUCUCCCAGGACUGGCACCUGCCACCUGGGCUGUCUGUACUUUGACGGCUGGGCCUCUGCCGUUCUGUGCCUCUGGCGCCUCCUGAAGCUCAGCUGGCCAGACCUCUGGCAUUUCCCCUGCUAGACCCUCUAGAGCCACAACUGUUGCCUCAGGGAGUUUGCGUACCUGUGGACCAGCCUGCUUCACUUUGGAUUUGAGGAGCAGAAAUCACACUUUUGUCUUUAAAUACUACUUAAAAUAUAGUGAGGCUACUUAUCCAUGGAAACAAGUCUCUGAGGCACAACCUUUAUGAAAGGAAGGAAUAUCGCUGACUUGCUGUGCUCCUCUGGCCACGCGUGAAUGUUGAGCACUUCAGAUUUGGCUUGGGGUCUCUCAGUGAGAAGCUGCUGCUGUGCUGUUUAAUGCUGACCUGACUGCAACUCCUGGAGGCGCUAUGCUGCCCUGUUCCCAGCCACUUCCCAACCUGAUUCAAGCAGGGCCCCUCCUUCCUCCUGUCUUUAUUUAUUCAUUCCAGAGACAAGGUCUCAGUCUCUCCUCUCACCCAGGCUAGAGGGCAGUGGGUAUCAUCAUAGUUCACUGUAGCCUCAAAAUCCUGGGCUCAAGUGAUCCUCCCACCUCAGUCUCCUGAGUAGCUGGGACCACAGGUGUGUGCUGCCUCACCCAGCUACUUUCUAAUUUUUUUGUAAAGACUGUAUCUCACUAUGUUACCUUGAACUCCUGAGCUCAAGUGAUCCUCCUGCCUCAGCCUCCCGAAGUGCUGUGAUUCCAGACCAGCCAUUUUUUUUCUUUAAUCAUGCGUUCCUGUUGCUAGUUUCAUAUCAGUCCCCUGGUUUGAAAAGAAAUACAAUGUUUUCUUCAUAUUUUUGUAAAGACCUUUCUUCUUGCAUACCCCUUCUCCCUCCAAAAGGGACAAAUAUUCUUCAAUUUCAUAAGGAGGGUGGGUAAGUCACUUGAGGAUGUGAACUUCUGGUAUUCCUCAGCUAGAAUGUUUCUCCCUCCAUUGACGCCAUAGCUGGGACUGGGAUUCUUGACUUUGGAAGAGGGGCAGUGUCCUGGCCUGUGCCAAUGAGCCUCCUAUGUCUAGAACUAAAAGGCCUGGUGUCUCCUUUGCUCCUCUCCCUGUCCUGCUGUGUUUCUCAGUUUGUGGGAUUUUUCUCUCCUAUCUUCUCUGUCUGGCCUGAUCUUUGUUUUGUUCAUUUUGUUUUGUUUUGUUUUAAUUUAUUUAUUUAUUUUUUGAGAUGGAGUCUUGCUCUGUCACCAGGCUAGAGUGCUGUGGUGCGAUAUCGGCUCACUGCAAUCUCUGCCUCCCAGCUUCAAGCAAUUCCCCUGCCUCAGCCUCCUGAGAAGCUGAGACUACAGGUACGGACCAGCACACCCAGCUAAUGUUUUGUAUUUUUAAUAGAGACGGGGUUUCACCAUGUUGGUCAGGAUGGUCUCGAUCUCCUGACCUUGUGAUCCACCCGCCUCAGCUUCCCAGAGUGCUGGGAUUACAGGCGUGAGCCACUGCACCCGGCCUGUUUUAUUCGUUUUUGUUUUUGUGUUUUGUUAAACAGCCAUUCCUUGAGAAGUCAGGACUAGUUUCAGUGCAGAGUAGGGCAAGUGUGUGAUUUCAGGGGUCUAGGACAGCCCCUUCGCUCUAAUAUUGUCCUCAAUCAGGUGAUAGAAUUUCCUUUCACCUGGUUCAAAGGCUGUUAUUCCAGAAUUAGUGAGGAUACUGGAAAUUCCAAUCCCAGAGUGGACUCAAUAACUCAAUCACACUAAGAUGUAAAAUAACCCCAUCAAGAUUUAUUUCCCUUUUGUUCUCUGGUGGGAGGAAAAAAACAAAAAAAGAAUUACAUCCCAGGCCAGGCGCGGUGGCUCACGCCUAUCAUCUUGACACUUUGGGAGGCUGAAGUGGGAGGAUCGCUUGAGCCCAGGAUUUUAAGACCAACCUAGGCGACACAGGGAGACCCCAUCUCUACAAAAAAUGUUAAAAUUAGCUGGUCAUGGUGGCAGACACUUGCAGUUCCCACAUGGGAGGCUGAGGUGCAAAGGAUUGCUUAAGCCUAGGAUUUUGAGGCUGCAGUGAGCAUGUUCACACCACUGCUCUCCAACCUGGGCAACAGAGCAAGACCCUGUCUCUAAAAAAAAAAAUUAUUUCCUGAGCAGCUUUUGAUGUUGAGGAAGAGGUAGGCAGGAGUGGGAGCAUCUAGAACCUGGAUGAGGAGGGACUCAGGUGAGAGGCUGGGCAGGCCUAGAAGGUAGGUGCUGUGAGUGCUGCUGUGUGGCCUCUGGGAUAGAUGGAGUUCAGUUCCCAGCAGGAAGUCAGGGGCAGCAUGAUCCCUGGCCUAGUCUUGGAAGAGCCAUGGCUGAAAAGGGGGUGGGGACAAUUUGCUUAUUUAUUUAUUUGAGACAGUGACUUGCUCUGUCAUCCAGACUGGAGUACAGUGGCAUGUUCUUGGCUCACUGCAACCUCCGCCUCCCAGGUUCAAGCAAUUCUUGUGUCUCAGCCUCCCAGUAGCUGGAACUACAGGCAUCUACCAUCAUGCCUGGCUAAUUUUUGUAUUUUUAGUAGGAACGAGGCUUUACCAUGUUGGCCAGGAUGGUCUGGAACUCCUGACCUCAAGUGAUCUGCCCACUUCCACCUCCCAAAAUGCUGGGAUUACAGGUGUGAGUCACCUUGCAUGGCCUUCCUCACAUAUUUACACACCCCUGCUCUUUUUGGGGGCCAGGCACCAAUGGCAAAUGAGAUGGGCAUGCAGGGGGCUUGCUAGUAAGAGCUCCCACCAGCAGCUCAGUCCUAAGCAACUUUGGAGCUGACCCAUGGACUUACGAAGCUGCUUGCACAAGGUUCUCAGUGGCCCUAAGGAAGAGUUUUGGAAGGCGCACUGGAAGCUGAGAGGCCUGUGGAGCCUGUCAGAAAGGACCAGAUUUGGAAAGAAGGUGAGCUAAGGCCCAAGUGUCAGUGUUCCCCUAGAAAUUUCUCAAAGACGAAACACAGAGAACUAGAAAAAGCGACUGAAGACUGGGUGUGGUGGCUCACGCCUGUAAUCCCAGCACUUUGGAAGGCCAAGACGGGUAGAUCACCUGAGGUCAGGAGUUUGAGACCAAUCUGGACAACAUAGUGAAACCCCAUCUCUACUAUAAAUACAAAAAUUAGCCGGGCAUGGAACAAGGUGCCUGUAAUUCCAGCUACUCAGGAGGAUGAGGCAGGAGAGUCACUUGAACCCAGGAGGCGAAGGUUGCAGUGAAAUGAGAUCGUGCCAUUGCACUCCAGCCUGGGCAACAGAGCGAUACCCUGUCUCAAAAAAUAAAUAAGGAAAAAAAGAAUAAAGAAAAAGCAAUUGAACAAGAUCACUACUCUAAAAUUAUUUACUGAAUAUUCUACGCGUGUCCAGGAAGUAACUGAGACUUGUGUAUUUGGAAAUGAGACUUCUGAGCCAAUCAGAUGCAGAUGAAAAAUUAGUUGCUUUACUGUUAUUUGCUUACCUGAGUGAAUUGGCCCUUAAUGUUGUAAAUAUUUCAUUUGCUAACGAAGUUUCAAGGUAGCAGAAAAGAUGCUUGACUUGAAGAAUUUGAGGAGAGGGAAGACUCAUUGAUUUGCAUUAUCAGUCAGUCCCCAAUUACCUUGGCAUGAUCAGUCCCAUAAUUUGUGUUACUCAUUUUUAACCAGAACUGUCUGAGUGUAUCAGAGCACAGUUGGGAAAAUGGGCUCUUAAUGUAGUUCAGCCUCCUUUAGGGGCCUAAUGAAGGCAGACUUAUAAAUACUUCUUAAUUAUCCUUCAGCUGAAUUAGCAGGAGUUGCUCUUAGCCCCUGUUCCAAAAUGCAGUCAAUUCUUCACCAGUUCACUUGUCCAUCCUUCUUGGGCAUUGGGGCUUGAAAGGAAAGUGCUGGAGGUGAGAUGUGGAGAAUUAGCUCUUUCCUUGCAUGUCAUAGAUCCUCUGCAAAGUAAGUGUGCCUAGAACUCUGUUCCCACCUCUGCAGGCUCCACACACUCAAGUUUGGAGACCCCAGCCCCAGUUUGUGGAACCUUUUGCAGUACAUCAUGUCCCACUUUGAAACACAAGCAUUUGUGAGGAUGACACAAGAGUGGUGGCUGCCUAACUGAUAUGGUGUAUGUUCUGUAGCAACUGGAAAGCAUUUGAAAAGGCAAUUUUGUAAUGUUAUAUUUUGGAGCUAGUAAAUUUUGUUUUCAUCUCAGUCAUUUCUGAGGGGCCUGAGAGUUAAAGAGCCUGGAUGCUGCAUCUGUGAGGCCCAGUGAACACUGGGCCCUGGGCGCUUAGGAGGGAGGGAAGGGGAUGCUGGAAGCAGUGAGGUGGUGCCUGGAGGCUACCUUGCUAUGAGACUGGCAGGGGCCAAGCUCUGGAGCAGCUUCUGGCCCUCUCUGCUCCUCCUGGCUUCACACUGGGGUGAUUCUCAUUUUUCCUGGGGCCCAGACAGCAGACCAGCCCUCAUGCUGGUGGGCAGUGAGAGGAGGAGGGCCCAGACAUGGGUGCUGCCCAUAGGGUAGAGGCCUAGGUGCUUCCACUAGAGGUGGGAGUCUCUUACCUUUUACUUUCAGCCCCUACCCUCCUCCCUCCUCUUUGCUUCUGAGUGCAAACCCCUGCAGGAGAAAUGGAACUGUCUCAGGUCAUCUUUACAAGACAGCUACUGUAGAUCACAGGUCAUACAUUAGCCAGUCGCUGGGCUGCCCUGGGGGCAGGUGGGCCCCAUGGCCUGAGCAGCAUUUGCCUGGUGAAGGCCAGCCAGAGUGGCUCAGUUCAUCCUUCAUGGCCCCUUCCCAGGGGAGCCGCACAAGGACCCGUGACAGAACAGCUGACUUGUGAAGGAAUCUUCUAGACUACCAUUUCCCCGUCACAUUUCCUCCUCUCUGCCUCCAGUAAAUGUGUCCCAGUGUUAUGACCCUAUUGACUGUCUUGUCACGAUGUUGACCAAGGGGUUUGGCAGAGGCCACCUGGGUUCACAGUGCUCAGUGGGAAAGACACCUGAAAAAUUAUCCUUCCCAGCGGCCUCUCACCUUUAAUCUCCUCUGCAGCGCCCCAUCACAGGUUGGGACCUUGGAACAGGCUCAGGCGCUGUCAUCGCAGUCAGUGAGCAGUGACUAAUUAAGACACAGCUCCAUUAGUCACAUUGGAGGUGACAACUGAGCAGCAUGUUUCUGAUUCGUGUCUGGGAGAUCCUGACACACUUUCCAAUUAUGUGGAACUAAUAGUGCGUGGCUUCCACGUGGCCAUGUGGGGUGGGAGAGCAGGGGGAGCCUGCAAUGAAAGCAUGACUUUCUGUGGGCAGCGCCAGUUUAGUUCCCAGCUCACCUACUCCUGACUUCUUUGCCCUUUCAGUUGAAAAUCACAAAAGGUGACACCAGGGGAAUGGCAUCAGGGGUGCCCGAGGACCGCUUUCAGAAGCCUUUUGUUGUCCACCACUGUUCCCAGGGGAAUUAGGAGGAUAUUCAGAGAGGAGCUGGUGACAUAGAAGCCGGUCCUUUCCCCAGGUACAGAAGAAAAGUCCAGCAUCGCCAGCCUCAGAGCACACUCUUGUCUUCCCUCACAGAGGCCCGUUAGGGCCACGGGAGAACCACAGAGACCCAGAGAAUCAGGACAUUGCAGCCAGAAGGAAAACAGGGCAGCCCAACCAAACUAGAGAAUGCUGCUAAAAUAGCUAACCUUUUUGUUUCCCCUAGGACAUUAACACAAGAAUUUUAUGA